AUACGGAGGGUGCAAGCGUUACUCGGAAUCACUGGGCGUAAAGCGCGCGCAGGCGGUCUUUUAAGUUGGAUGUGAAAGCCUACGGCUCAACCGUAGAACUGCAUCCAAAACUAUUAGACUAGAGUGUGGGAGAGGAAGAUGGAAUUAGUUGUGUAGGGGUAAAAUCCGUAGAGAUAACUAGGAAUACCAAAAGCGAAGGCAAUCUUCUGGAACACUACUGACGCUGAGGCGCGAAGGCGUGGGGAGCAAACAGGAUUAGAUACCCGAGUAGUCC
RNAcentral lists this ribosomal RNA (274 nucleotides) under uncultured bacterium. RNAcentral's name for it is "partial 16S ribosomal RNA". It matches the Rfam family "Bacterial small subunit ribosomal RNA", at positions 523 to 796 of the family's 1533-position model. The record is from RNAcentral.